Ochotona curzoniae (black-lipped pika) is the source of this 102-nucleotide small nuclear RNA. The record is from RefSeq and is a predicted model, not a curated record. Lineage: Eukaryota; Metazoa; Chordata; Mammalia; Lagomorpha; Ochotonidae.
AUGCUUGCUUCGGCAGCACGCAUACUAAAACUGGAAUAGAAAAUAUUAGCAUGGCUCCUGAGCAAAGAUGACACACACAUUUGUGAAGCAUUCCAUAUUCCA